AUGAACGCUGGCGGCGUGCUUAACACAUGCAAGUCGAACGAACCUUCGGGUUAGUGGCGGACGGGUGAGUAACGCGUGAGAAUCUGCCCUCAGGAGGGGGACAACAGCUGGAAACGGCUGCUAAUACCCCAUAUGCCGCGAGGUGAAAUGAAUUUCGCCUGAGGAUGAGCUCGCGUCUGAUUAGCUAGUUGGUGUAGGUAAUGGCUCACCAAGGCAUCGAUCAGUAGCUGGUCUGAGAGGAUGAUCAGCCACACUGGGACUGAGACACGGCCCAGACUCCUACGGGAGGCAGCAGUGGGGAAUUUUCCGCAAUGGGCGAAAGCCUGACGGAGCAACGCCGCGUGAGGGAUGAAGGCCUCUGGGCUGUAAACCUCUUUUAUCAAGGAAGAAGAUCUGACGGUACUUGAUGAAUAAGCCACGGCUAAUUCCGUGCCAGCAGCCGCGGUAAUACGGGAGUGGCAAGCGUUAUCCGGAAUUAUUGGGCGUAAAGCGUCCGCAGGCGGCCCUUCAAGUCUGCUGUUAAAAAGUGGAGCUUAACUCCAUCAUGGCAGUGGAAACUGUUGGGCUUGAGUGUGGUAUGGGCAGAGGGCAUUCCCGGUGUAGCGGUGAAAUGCGUAGAUAUCGGGAAGAACACCAGUGGCGAAGGCGCUCUGCUGGGCCAUCACUGACGCUCAUGGACGAAAGCCAGGGGAGCGAAAGGGAUUAGAUACCCGUGUAGUCCUGGCCGUAAACGAUGAACACUAGGUGUCGGGGGAAUCGACCCCCUCGGUGUCGUAGCCAACGCGUUAAGUGUUCCGCCUGGGGAGUACGCACGCAAGUGUGAAACUCAAAGGAAUUGACGGGGGCCCGCACAAGCGGUGGAGUAUGUGGUUUAAUUCGAUGCAACGCGAAGAACCUUACCAGGGUUUGACAUCCUGCGAAUCUCUUGGAAACAGGAGAGUGCCUUCGGGAACGCAGUGACAGGUGGUGCAUGGCUGUCGUCAGCUCGUGUCGUGAGAUGUUGGGUUAAGUCCCGCAACGAGCGCAACCCACGUCUUUAGUUGCCAGCAUUUAGUUGGGCACUCUAGAGAGACUGCCGGUGAUAAACCGGAGGAAGGUGUGGAUGACGUCAAGUCAUCAUGCCCCUUACAUCCUGGGCUACACACGUACUACAAUGCUACGGACAAAGGGCAGCAAGUUCGCGAGGACAAGCAAAUCCCAUAAACCGUGGCUCAGUUCAGAUCGUAGGCUGCAACUCGCCUACGUGAAGGCGGAAUCGCUAGUAAUCGCAGGUCAGCAUACUGCGGUGAAUACGUUCCCGGGCCUUGUACACACCGCCCGUCACACCAUGGAAGUUGGCCACGCCCGAAGCCGUUACUCCAACCCUUGUGGAGGAGGACGUCGAAGGUGGGGCUGAUGACUGGGGCGA
Molecule: ribosomal RNA, 1408 nt
Filed under: uncultured bacterium
Lineage: Bacteria
Description: bacterial SSU rRNA
Rfam family: Bacterial small subunit ribosomal RNA
Source: RNAcentral